RNAcentral lists this long non-coding RNA (1519 nucleotides) under Phasianus colchicus (ring-necked pheasant). Its description in RNAcentral is "lncRNA (ENSPCLG00000000523.1)". Lineage: Eukaryota; Metazoa; Chordata; Aves; Galliformes; Phasianidae. The record is from RNAcentral.
UUGUUGAGUUAAAUUAGAAAAAUAAUAAUGGUGUUCUCAGUUAAAAUCCAGAGUUAAAUAAUCAAGUGUUAUGGUAAACUUUCUCAUAGUGAGAAUUGCAUAAAAAUCAGCUGUUACAUCGGCGAGUAUAGCAAGAGCAGCUGGUGUUUCAAUAACAAAGUGUUAGAAGUCUCUUGGAAAUAGGUUUCUAAAAUCUUAUGUUGUCACCCUUAAGUCUGUGUAUAAUGAUCAAGUGUUUUUCUGUGCCUCAAGAUAACCACAUCUUGUAAAAGGAAAGUGUCUGAAGCAUCAGUGCUUAUUCCUGCAACUGCAAGAUUUUCCACACGGAGUCCACUGGUAUUUCUUAGUACGUGUAAGUUUACAGCCACUCCUUCCAAAGGACGAUGUAAGUUACCAUUGAAAAUGAUGAGCUCUGCUGAAAGGUCUAACAGUAAUGCAGUAAAUGGAACCAGAACUAAUAAUUUAUAUCAGGAGCUUACUGAAGUAUGUAUGUCAUCUUUAGCUAAGUCUUUUAUAUAGAAUAACAUGUGUUCUACUUUGUUCCUAAUUUGUGCUUGGAAGAGCUAGUGUUCUGCAAUCAGUAAAUAACUUACAGAAAACAAAGUGGUUCUUGGAUCAGAUUCAGGUCAAAUCCCUGAUUACAGGAUUCUGAAGCAUUUUAUAUAGCCAUACUUCAGAAGAAGACUUCAUUAUAUUGAAAGUAUCAUUUUGAAUACUUCGAGCAUUACUUAGUAGUAAAAUCUGUUUUGUUUUCAUGGAUUGUAAUGGUCACUGUUAUUUAUUGUACUCUCUAGAAUGGGCAAAGGUGUACAUCAGAUAAUGAAUUUUGUGAAACAGAGCAGAAAACCAGGAAAUCGAAAAUCAGAGAAGAGGCAGAACUACCAGAAAAGGUAUUGGAACCAGUACUUCAAUGAAAAGAAUUAAUGACUUAAUAUUUUAUUCAAGAAGUGAUAAAUUUGAGAUGCCUUUUUGUUUGUGAUUUUAUGUAACUGUUUUAUUUUGCAUGUUGUUCUACUGUAGGGAGUGUGUCCUGAAGAAAUUUUAAAAUUUUUACCAGAAGCAGAAAAUGGAACCACUGAAAAGCAAACUUUAGGCAAGUAAUUUUACGAGAGUUACUUGUCCUUAUUUUAUUUUUUUUAAUCUGCUACAUUCCUUUUGUAAUAAUGAUUGAUAACAAAUUAAUAUUUUAUUUAGACGAUGCGUUAGAUAUCGUUCCUGAUUCCCAGCAAGCAGGGAGAAGCAACAAACAUCUGUAAGUACUGAAAAAGAAUACCAAGUCACUGCUGGUUUGUGACUCAGUGACUAGUUCAUGAAAAGGUUCAUCUGUUGUUUUUAACUUUAUAAUUAAAGUCUGAUUAUUUUGAAAAUAGUGGUCAUUAACAAAAUCAGAGUAGUAGUUUAAUGUUCAAUGUUAAUAAGGAGAAUAAUUAUUUCAGAUUACAACAGAAAGUAAAGUAAAAAUGACACUGAGCUGUGCCAUAAAAGGUAGUAAACACAUUCUAAUUGUACCUCUGUAGGU